UUGAAUGAAUCUAGAGUUGGUUGUCGCUGGCCCCGCAAUUUAGGGGCAUGUGCACGCCUUCUCUUUUCAUGCACACACACCUGUGCACUUGUGAGACGGAGGAUUAAUUUCCUCCGUCUACUAAUCACACAAACUCAUCGUACUUAAACUGAAUGUAAUUGAUGUAACACAUCAUUUGAACU
Molecule: unclassified non-coding RNA, 182 nt
Filed under: uncultured Ceratobasidiaceae
Lineage: Eukaryota; Fungi; Basidiomycota; Agaricomycetes; Cantharellales; Ceratobasidiaceae
Description: sequence contains ITS1
Source: RNAcentral